CCAAAGAUCCCCAGAUGCCUCUCUCAUACCCUUGGAGCGAAGGGAAACCUUGAGAGUGGGCGGAAAGAAGGUUAUCGCUUGGAGGGACACUGGGGCCCAAGUGUCAACUAUCCACCAAUCCCUAGUGGACCCCAAACUCAUCAACCCGGAGGCUACAGUGACAAUUCAACUCUUCGUGUCACAGUCUGUAACCUUGCCUACAGCCACGUUGCAUGUCCAGUACAAGGGCUGGUCAGGAAUGUGGACUUUUGCAGUCUGACAAUUAUCCCAUUCCCAUGCUGCUGGGGGAAGAUUUGGCCAACCAUGUGAAGCUAGCCAAGAGGGUGGGAAUAGUCACCCGCAGCCAGGCUAAGCAAGCUUUCACCCCCAUCCCUGUUCCUGAGCCAUCCACCAGGGCCCCGUCUGUGUUACCAGAGACCCAGACAAAGGUGGUGGAACCGGAUCCCCUGCCAACGACUGCAACAGCCGUAGUGGAUCCAAUCCCAGAGACCCAGCCAAAGCCAGUCCCAGAACCGGAACUGGCAACGCAACCAGCACCAGAACCAUUGCCAGCACUGAGUCCAGCGCUUGCAAACCCGUCUACAACUCCAACGCCAGAGGUCACCAGCGAGCCUGACCUGGAGGAAGCAGCAGAUAACCCUACCCAAGAGGCUCAGCCAGAGCCUAAGAUACCACAUAGUGCACCAGCGGACAGUGGAUCACAGUCAAUGGAAACAGCCCCAGCACCUGCAUCACUUCCAGAGGGACCAAGCCCCAGUCCACAGUCCAAGGAGGAACUGAUGUCUCCAGCAUCACGGGAACAGUUCCAGGCCGAGCAGGAAGCAGAUGACAGCCUUCAGAAAGCUUGGGCGGUGGCGCGGAGCACCCCACCGCCUCUCAGCUCUUCUAACCGAUCCCGGUUUGUUGUAGAACAAGGACUUCUAUACAAGGAGACUCUUUCUGGUGGGCACCAGGAAGACUGGCAUCCUCAAAGACAGUUGGUAGUUCCCACUAAAUAUCGGGUAAA
This 1006-nucleotide long non-coding RNA is filed under the name Chrysemys picta bellii (western painted turtle). Its description in RNAcentral is "lncRNA (ENSCPBG00000003265.1)". Lineage: Eukaryota; Metazoa; Chordata; Testudines; Emydidae. The record is from RNAcentral.